CGGGGGGGGCAAGCGUUGUUCGGAAUUACUGGGCGUAAAGGGCUCGUAGGCGGCCAACUAAGUCAGACGUGAAAUCCCUCGGCUUAACCGGGGAACUGCGUCUGAUACUGGAUGGCUUGAGGUUGGGAGAGGGAUGCGGAAUUCCAGGUGUAGCGGUGAAAUGCGUAGAUAUCUGGAGGAACACCGGUGGCGAAGGCGGCAUCCUGGACCAAUUCUGACGCUGAGGAGCGAAAGCCAGGGGAGCAAACGGGAUUAGAUACCCGGUAGUCCUGGCCCUAAACGAUGAAUGCUUGGUGUGGCGGGUAUCGAUCCCUGCCGUGCCGAAGCUAACGCAUUAAGCAUUCCGCCGUGGGGAGUACGGUCGCAAGGCU
Molecule: ribosomal RNA, 371 nt
Filed under: uncultured organism
Description: bacterial SSU rRNA
Rfam family: Bacterial small subunit ribosomal RNA
Source: RNAcentral